UACGGCCACAUCACGUUGAUACACAGGUUCCCGUACGAUCACCGAAGUCAAGCCUGGUCAGUACCUAUAUGUGUAACCGCUUGGGAAUACCAUGUGCUGUAAG
This is a non-coding RNA of Acanthosepion pharaonis, 103 nucleotides long. The record is from the annotation of a GenBank genome assembly. NCBI's taxonomy places the organism in Eukaryota, Metazoa, Mollusca, Cephalopoda, Sepiida, Sepiidae.